Molecule: ribosomal RNA, 484 nt
Filed under: uncultured bacterium
Lineage: Bacteria
Description: partial 16S ribosomal RNA
Rfam family: Bacterial small subunit ribosomal RNA
Source: RNAcentral
GACGAACGCUGGCGGCGUGCUUAACACAUGCAAGUCGAACGAUGAAGCCGGAGCUUGCUCUGGUGAAUUAGUGGCGAACGGGUGAGUAACACGUGAGUAACCUGCCCUUGACUCUGGGAUAACUGCUAGAAAUGGUAGCUAAUACCGGAUACGACCAUCGGAGGCAUCUUCAGGGGGUGGAAAGAAUUUCGGUCAAGGAUGGACUCGCGGCCUAUCAGCUAGUUGGUGAGGUAACGGCGCACCAAGGCGACGACGGGUAGCCGGCCUGAGAGGGUGACCGGCCACACUGGGACUGAGACACGGCCCAGACUCCUACGGGAGGCAGCAGUGGGGAAUAUUGCACAAUGGGCGCAAGCCUGAUGCAGCAACGCCGCGUGAGGGAUGACGGCCUUCGGGUUGUAAACCUCUUUUAGUAGGGAAGAAGCGAAAGUGACGGUACCUGCAGAAAAAGCACCGGCUAACUACGUGCCAGCAGCCGCGGUAA